UACGAAGGGUGCAAGCGUUACUCGGAAUUACUGGGCGUAAAGCGUGCGUAGGCGGUUUGUUAAGUCCGUUGUGAAAGCCCUGGGCUCAACCUGGGAAUUGCAGUGGAUACUGGCGAGCUAGAGUGCGGUAGAGGAUGGUGGAAUUCCCGGUGUAGCGGUGAAAUGCGUAGAGAUCGGGAGGAACACCCGUGGCGAAGGCGGCCAUCUGGACCGGUAUUGACGCUGAGGCGCGAAAGCCAGGGGAGCAAACGGG
This 253-nucleotide ribosomal RNA is filed under the name uncultured bacterium. RNAcentral's name for it is "partial 16S ribosomal RNA". It matches the Rfam family "Bacterial small subunit ribosomal RNA", at positions 524 to 776 of the family's 1533-position model. The record is from RNAcentral.